RNAcentral lists this ribosomal RNA (678 nucleotides) under Triticum aestivum (bread wheat). Its description in RNAcentral is "partial small subunit ribosomal RNA". Lineage: Eukaryota; Viridiplantae; Streptophyta; Magnoliopsida; Poales; Poaceae. The record is from RNAcentral.
AUGGCGCAUGAUAACGGGGGUAAUGUGGAUAUCAUGAUGUGUGUUGUGGGGACAAAUCAACAGUGUGAAUAUGCGCACCCCGCAAGCUUUGGUUCUGCCAACAACAAAACAGACGAAGUCAGCGAGCCAGCGAGUCCAGAAACAGGAGGAGAGAAUGCUGAACAGGGAGACAAAAACACCGAGGCAUACUCCACACCGAAGCCUCCGGAUGAAACGAUAAAGUUUGGUACUUUUGAGGAAGUUUAUGAUCACUACAAGCAAUAUGCACUCAGACAUGGGUUUGGAAUGAGACUGGAAUACAGAAAAACAAUUAAAGACGAUACUGUAAGCAGAGUCCUCUUGGUUUGUGGGAAAUACGGCAAGCCAAAAACAAACAAGGAGGAGAUAGAGGAUGUGCAGGACCCAAAAUGCAUCGUGAAAAGAGGAAAAGAGGGAAGAUUGAACAUUCCAAAAGAUGAGCAGCACUUCUUGAAGAUAUUGCACGGAUGCAACAUAGAGACAGCAAGACAGAUGCAACUAAUGUCAUGGUUCUACGGGAAUCCUAAAGAUGUACCAUACACAACAAAGGACAUCGCAAACCAGCGAGCUAAAUUCCGGAUGGAGUACCGCCAUGCUGAUGUGGGGAGCACAAUCUCAUACUUCCAAGAUAUGAAGGCACAAGAUCCAGAUUUCUAUUAG